Long non-coding RNA from Cydia pomonella (codling moth), 664 nucleotides. RefSeq lists it as uncharacterized. The record is from RefSeq and is a predicted model, not a curated record. The transcript has 2 exons. Lineage: Eukaryota; Metazoa; Arthropoda; Insecta; Lepidoptera; Tortricidae.
CUAUUACGCUGCACAAAUUUCUUCAAUGAUGUAUAAUAACUAAGUAGUAGGCGUUAUCAUGAAGCCUUCGACCAUGAAAUUCAGAGUAAAAGUUAAAAUUUCUGAACGCAACGGCCACGUUCCCGCGAACAGAACUGUCAACUUCAUUGUGUUUAUUCAUGUAAGCCGACGACCAUUAGGGCAUAAUAAAAUAAAACGUUUUUAACUGAAAAUAACAGUUAACAUUUUAUAAGAAUAUGAAAAAAUAAAGAAAAUAGUGUUAACAGUGACGAAUUGCAAAAUUGGAGGGAAAAAACCACAAGAUCGGAGAAGAAAAUGCAACUUUCGCGUUCAAGGUCAAUUGCGGCGUCCUUUCGUCGAUAGCAUAGCUACACGGACGAGAUAAAUAUCGAGAUAAAAAUGUAGCAGGCCAUGGAUGUACCUACAUUAAUAGUGCCAGCGAACGAAUGUUUAAUGCAUACAUAACUAAAAUUCCGAAAAGGAACAUAAACGUCGGCAAGUGAAGAAUGAAGCGAGUUAAUUUUGACCUUGUUGGAAGGAGGCACCGCACCAGAAGGUUAAAUAUGGGAAUAAUCCUUCUAGGACAAUCUUGUUGUUUGCUUGCAGAUAUAUAAUUACGAACAUUACAAAACAACAAUGACCCGGACAAGAUUAUGAAAAAAUA